UGAGCAAUCUGCCCUUCUCAUCGGGAAUAACCAUUGGAAACGAUGGCUAAUGCCGAAUAUGACCUCGGAUCACAUGUUCUGAGGUGGAAAGUUUUUCGGCUAGGGAUGGGCCCGCGGCCUAUCAGCUUGUUGGUGAGGUAACGGCCCACCAAGGCGACGACGGGUAGCCGGCCUGAGAGGGUGACCGGCCACACUGGGACUGAGACACGGCACAGACUCCUACGGGAGGNAG
Molecule: ribosomal RNA, 232 nt
Filed under: uncultured bacterium
Lineage: Bacteria
Description: partial 16S ribosomal RNA
Rfam family: Bacterial small subunit ribosomal RNA
Source: RNAcentral